RNAcentral lists this ribosomal RNA (408 nucleotides) under uncultured bacterium. Its description in RNAcentral is "partial 16S ribosomal RNA". It matches the Rfam family "Bacterial small subunit ribosomal RNA", at positions 28 to 526 of the family's 1533-position model. The record is from RNAcentral.
GACGAACGCUGGCGGCGUGCUUAACACAUGCAAGUCGAACGAAGUGGCGAACGGGUGAGUAACGCGUAAUCAACCUGCCCUUCAGAGGGGGACAACAGUUGGAAACGACUGCUAAUACCGCAUACUGAAGGAGGGGAUUGCGUUGGAUUGGCUAGUUGGAGGGGUAACGGCCCACCAAGGCGAUGAUCAGUGGCCGGGCUUGGGGGGAUGACGGCCAACAUGGGAAUGGGACACGGCCCAAACUCCCACGGGAGGGAGCAGUGGGGAAUCAUCCGCAAUGGACGAAAGUCUGGCGGAGCAACGCCGCGUGAGUGAUGACGGCCUUCGGGUUGUAAAGCUCUGUUAAUCGGGACGCGUUACCGGAAUAGAAAGCCACGGCUAACUACGUGCCAGCAGCCGCGGUAAUAC